RNAcentral lists this long non-coding RNA (416 nucleotides) under Homo sapiens (human). RNAcentral describes it as "non-protein coding lnc-SLC35F5-6:5". The record is from RNAcentral. Lineage: Eukaryota; Metazoa; Chordata; Mammalia; Primates; Hominidae.
GAAUAAGAAAGAAGAGAACAAAGAAGAGACAAAGAAGUUGCCUUAGGUGUACCCACCCAGAAAAGGACAAAGGCAUUCUUGUAGUCAUUGUGUUGUAUUUUAGCUCUUAAACUUUUUAAGAGAUUAGAAUAAUUUGACACAUAGAAGAUCUAAACCACUGAAGAGGCUCUGAAGCAGAUAAAAGUAGAAAGAAAAUAAAAAACUAAUUAGUUACAAACUAAGCUUAACCACAAUUCAUUUAAACGAUACUAUUUACUCUUCACAUGAUUUUGAGCAAACCAGCCACAAAAGAUAUUUCAGGGAGACCAAGCUGGAAGGAUCACUUGAGGCCAGGAGUUUGAGACCAGCCUGGGCAAUGUAGUAAGACCUCCAUCUCUACAAAAACAAUAAAUUAGCUGGGCAUGGUGGUGUGCACC